UCUAUAUUGAUCCAUCUAUUGGGAUAUAUCUUCUAUUCAGAUACAUGGAUCUCUUUCCAUAUAUAG
RNAcentral lists this transfer RNA (66 nucleotides) under Pinus thunbergii (Japanese black pine). RNAcentral's name for it is "tRNA-Ile". RNAcentral also lists the same sequence under 2 other names. Lineage: Eukaryota; Viridiplantae; Streptophyta; Pinopsida; Pinales; Pinaceae. The record is from RNAcentral.